AGAUGUGAGGGCGAUCUGGCUGCGACAUCUGUCACCCCAUUGAUCGCCAGGGUUGAUUCGGCUGAUCUGGCUGUCUAGGUGGGUGUCCCCUUCCUCCCUCACUGCUCCAUGUGCGUCCCUCCCGAAGCUGCGCGCUCAGUCGAAGAGGAUGACCAUCCCUGAUAGAGGAGGACCGGUCUUCGGUCAAGGGUAUACAAGUAGCUGCGCUCCGCUGCUAGAACCUCCAAACAAGCUCUCAAGAAUUGCUCUGAAAGAGUGAGAAACAAAUACUCUUGACCUCCAUUGGUGAGGCAGUUGCUUUGAGAACUUAGAAAUAUCAUAGCCUUUCAU
Non-coding RNA from Nomascus leucogenys (northern white-cheeked gibbon), 330 nucleotides. It matches the Rfam family "7SK RNA". Rfam says of the family: 7SK was discovered as an abundant small nuclear RNA in the mid-70s but a possible function has only recently been suggested. Two independent studies have found that 7SK RNA binds the CDK9/cyclin T complex (known as elongation factor P-TEFb). Lineage: Eukaryota; Metazoa; Chordata; Mammalia; Primates; Hylobatidae. The record is from Rfam.